This 1537-nucleotide long non-coding RNA is filed under the name Manacus vitellinus (golden-collared manakin). Its description in RNAcentral is "lncRNA (ENSMVIG00005011754.1)". Lineage: Eukaryota; Metazoa; Chordata; Aves; Passeriformes; Pipridae. The record is from RNAcentral.
AAUACUUUAUUUUGUAGCACUAUAUAGUGGGAACAUCAUGAAGGGGAAUUAGUGCACCUCUGCACAGGACACCCUGCAGCACUUAAGUAACAGGCAGUCACUGCUCUACUGAUGGGAAAUAGUAGGCAAGGCUAUGAUGUUCUCUGAAGUGUGUGUACAAAGAAAUUUUAAACAGACCUUCUGCUGAUAGCAACUGCUGAGCCCUGGGCAGCACAGGGCAGUGACCUGUGCUGGUGAGGGGGAAAAGCAAUGGAGUGUGCUCCUGAGGGACUGAAGCUAUACUCUGAUCUCUUUUCAGACAGAGAAUUGAACAAGGAGGACAGCGCCCUGAAAAACGAGCAGACAGUUAACAAUGGUGUAAAUAAGGAAGAACUGUCUGCCAUGCAGAGCAGCACCCUGAGAUCCAAGUGUGCAGUUGAUGAUGGUGUAACUGAGGAAGGUGAGUGCCUGUUCAGAGAUGGGAAGCUGCCCUGGGGGGAAAAGUGUUGGUUUUUGGUGUUAGCUGAUGAUGUUGGCAAUAUGUUGAGUUGUAACUAGCAACUCAGUCUUAGGCAAUAGAGUCAUAGCUUGAAGCUGAGCAAGGCAGGGGACUGUAGUUGUCUUCUGACCUCUGUGCAUACGUCUUUAAUGAGAACAUUAGCAUGCUGGCCUACCAUGCAGAUGGCUAUAGCAUAAAUGAAGGCGGUAAGUGCCUGUACUGUGGAACAGUCUUUGUUCAUUGUGACUUUUGCCUAGUGCUUCCUGAUGUGCAGUUAUGGGUGGCACCAUGGGUGCUGAGUGCCUCCCAUGCUUGGCUUUCGCAGGAUCUGUAAAGGAUCAUGAAGACAGUGCAGAGUCAAGUAUGGAGGUGAGAGGGGAGGUGUUGAAUGGUGGUCCCAUGGGGAUGGGGCAUGUUGGCCAGGGUUAUUAUUCAUGCCAAAUGAAUGUCCCAGAUCUCAAUCAGAUUAUCCUUGAUCCAUCUGGGCCAGAGAGGCAGAGUGUUGUGAGGGCCAGAAUUGUCUGAGUAUUGCCUUUGUGCUUGCAGAACUGACGCAGGUUGCAGAAGGUGGAAAUGAGGAGCACCUGAACAACACUCACAGCUAAGAAGGUAUGUGAGAGUGAAGCUUCCUGUGUCUUGGAAGAGUGUUCUGACUGGCACAGAGGUUGGGAGUGGCAAUGCUGGGUCAGGCUGUGUGUGACUCUCUGACCCCUUUAUACUCAGGUAGAAAACAAGAGUGAGAAUUGGUAGGAGGGAAGUGGCGUGUGUGUGGUGGGCAUGUCCCUGUGUGAUAGGGAAUCCGAUGUUUGUGAUGGAAGUGUACAGAAGACUGGCCAAUUUAGCCAGUUUAGAAUCACAGAAUGGUUUGGUUUGGAAGGGGCCUUUAAGAUCGUCUAGUGCCAGCCCCCUUGCCUUGAGCAGGGAACAUUCCACUAGAUGGAUUACUCAGAGCCCCAUCCAGCCUGGCCUUGGACACCUUCAGGAAUGGGGCAUCCACAGCCCCUCUGAUCAACCUGUUCCAGUGCCUCAUCACCCUCAUAGUAAAGAAUUUCUUCCUAA